Molecule: ribosomal RNA, 874 nt
Filed under: Acrophialophora levis
Lineage: Eukaryota; Fungi; Ascomycota; Sordariomycetes; Sordariales; Chaetomiaceae
Description: eukaryotic LSU rRNA
Rfam family: Eukaryotic large subunit ribosomal RNA
Source: RNAcentral
GCGGAGGAAAAGAAACCAACAGGGAUUGCCCUAGUAACGGCGAGUGAAGCGGCAACAGCUCAAAUUUGAAAUCUGGCUUCGGCCCGAGUUGUAAUUUGCAGAGGAAGCUUUAGGCGCGGCACCUCCUGAGUCCCCUGGAACGGGGCGCCACAGAGGGUGAGAGCCCCGUAUAGUUGGAUGCCUAGCCUGUGUAAAGCUCCUUCGACGAGUCGAGUAGUUUGGGAAUGCUGCUCAAAAUGGGAGGUAAAUUUCUUCUAAAGCUAAAUACCGGCCAGAGACCGAUAGCGCACAAGUAGAGUGAUCGAAAGAUGAAAAGCACUUUGAAAAGAGGGUUAAAUAGCACGUGAAAUUGUUGAAAGGGAAGCGCUUGUGACCAGACUUGCGCCGGGCUGAUCAUCCGGUGUUCUCACCGGUGCACUCUGCCCGGCUCAGGCCAGCAUCGGUUCUCGCGGGGGGAUAAAGGCCCUGGGAACGUAGCUCCUCCGGGAGUGUUAUAGCCCGGGGCGCAAUGCCCUCGCGGGGACCGAGGUUCGCGCUCUGCAAGGAUGCUGGCGUAAUGGUCAUCAGCGACCCGUCUUGAAACACGGACCAAGGAGUCAAGGUUUUGCGCGAGUGUUUGGGUGUAAAACCCGCACGCGUAAUGAAAGUGAACGUAGGUGAGAGCUUCGGCGCAUCAUCGACCGAUCCUGAUGUUCUCGGAUGGAUUUGAGUAGGAGCGUUAAGCCUUGGACCCGAAAGAUGGUGAACUAUGCUUGGAUAGGGUGAAGCCAGAGGAAACUCUGGUGGAGGCUCGCAGCGGUUCUGACGUGCAAAUCGAUCGUCAAAUCUGAGCAUGGGGGCGAAAGACUAAUCGAACCAUCUAGUAGCUGGUACC